UACGUAGGUGGCAGGCGUUGUCCGGAAUUAUUGGGCGUAAAGCGCGCGCAGGCGGUCUUUUAAGUCUGAUGUGAAAGCCCACGGCUCAACCGUGGAGGGUCAUUGGAAACUGGAGGACUUGAGUACAGAAGAGGAGAGUGGAAUUCCACGUGUAGCGGUGAAAUGCGUAGAGAUGUGGAGGAACACCAGUGGCGAAGGCGACUCUUUGGCCUAUAACUGACGCUGAGGCACGGAGGCGUGGGGAGCGAACGGG
This 253-nucleotide unclassified non-coding RNA is filed under the name uncultured Caryophanales bacterium. Its description in RNAcentral is "uncultured Bacillales bacterium contains 16S-23S intergenic spacer region". It matches the Rfam family "Bacterial small subunit ribosomal RNA", at positions 524 to 776 of the family's 1533-position model. The record is from RNAcentral. Lineage: Bacteria; Bacillati; Bacillota; Bacilli; Caryophanales.